GACGAACGCUGGCGGCGUGCUUAACACAUGCCAGUCGAACGGAAAGGCCCUGCUUUCGUGGGGUGCUCGAGUGGCGAACGGGUGAGUAACACGUGAGUAACCUGCCCUUGACUUUGGGAUAACUUCAGGAAACUGGGGCUAAUACCGGAUAGGAGCUCCUGCUGCAUGGUGGGGGUUGGAAAGUUUCGGCGGUUGGGGAUGGACUCGCGGCUUAUCAGCUUGUUGGUGGGGUAGUGGCUUACCAAGGCUUUGACGGGUAGCCGGCCUGAGAGGGUGACCGGCCACAAUGGGACUGAGGUACGGCCCAGACUCCAACGGGAGGCAGCGGUGGGGAAUAUUGCACAAGGGGCGGAAGCCUGAUGAAGCAACGCCGCGUGCGGGAUGACGGCCUGCGGGUUGUAAACCGCUUUCGCCUGUGACGAAGCGUGAGUGACGGUAAUGGGUAAAGAAGCACCGGCUAACUACGUG
This 468-nucleotide ribosomal RNA is filed under the name uncultured bacterium. RNAcentral describes it as "partial 16S ribosomal RNA". It matches the Rfam family "Bacterial small subunit ribosomal RNA", at positions 28 to 507 of the family's 1533-position model. The record is from RNAcentral.